This 256-nucleotide ribosomal RNA is filed under the name uncultured bacterium. RNAcentral describes it as "partial 16S ribosomal RNA". It matches the Rfam family "Bacterial small subunit ribosomal RNA", at positions 524 to 776 of the family's 1533-position model. The record is from RNAcentral.
UACGAAGGGGGCGAGCGUUGUUCGGAUUUACUGGGCGUAAAGGGCGCGCAGGCGGCCAUCUUUGUCAGGCGUGAAAGCCCCGGGCUCAACCUGGGAGGUGCGCUUGGGACGGGAUGGCUUGAGAUCGGGAGAGGAGCGUGGAAUUCCCAGUGUAGAGGUGAAAUUCGUAGAUAUUGGGAAGAACACCGGUGGCGAAGGCGGCGCUCUGGACCGAGACUGAGCGCGUGAGGCGGCGAAAGCGUUGGGGAGCAACAGG